CUAAUCAGAAAGAAACUCAGACAGGCACAUCAAUCUUACCCACACACACCACUAUACAACAACACAAAACAGACACCACAGGGAGCAUUUCUAAUCAGAAAGAAACUCAGACAAGCACAUCAAUCUUACCCACAAGCACCACUAUACAACAACAAAACACAGACACUGCAGGGAGCAUUUCUAAUCAGAAAGAAACUCAGACAAGCAUGUCAAUCUUACCCACACGCACCACUAUACAACAACAAAACACAGACACCACAGGGAGCAUUUCUAAUCAGAAAGAAACUCAGACAGGCACAUCAAUCUUACCCACACACACCACUAUACAACAACACAAAACA
This is a long non-coding RNA of Cyprinus carpio (common carp), 341 nucleotides long. RefSeq lists it as uncharacterized. NCBI's taxonomy places the organism in Eukaryota, Metazoa, Chordata, Actinopteri, Cypriniformes, Cyprinidae. The record is from RefSeq and is a predicted model, not a curated record. The transcript has 4 exons.